This 164-nucleotide ribosomal RNA is filed under the name Zelenkoa onusta. RNAcentral's name for it is "5.8S ribosomal RNA". It matches the Rfam family "5.8S ribosomal RNA". From Rfam's summary of the family: 5.8S ribosomal RNA (5.8S rRNA) is a component of the large subunit of the eukaryotic ribosome. It is transcribed by RNA polymerase I as part of the 45S precursor that also contains 18S and 28S rRNA. Functionally, it is thought that 5.8S rRNA may be involved in ribosome translocation. Lineage: Eukaryota; Viridiplantae; Streptophyta; Magnoliopsida; Asparagales; Orchidaceae. The record is from RNAcentral.
GACACGACUCUCGACAAUGGAUAUCUUGGCUCUUGCAUCGAUGAAGAGCGCAGCGAAAUGCGAUACGUGGUGCGAAUUGCAGAAUCCCGCGAACCAUCGAGUCUUUGAACGCAAGUUGCGCCUGAGGCCAGCAGGUCAAGGGCACGUCCGCCUGGGCGUCAAGC